GGGUAGCUUGCUACCUGACCUAGCGGCGGACGGGUGAGUAAUGCUUAGGAAUCUGCCUAUUAGUGGGGGACAACAUUCCGAAAGGAAUGCUAAUACCGCAUACGCCCUACGGGGGAAAGCAGGGGAUCUUCGGACCUUGCGCUAAUAGAUGAGCCUAAGUCAGAUUAGCUAGUUGGUGGGGUAAAGGCCUACCAAGGCGACGAUCUGUAGCGGGUCUGAGAGGAUGAUCCGCCACACUGGGACUGAGACACGGCCCAGACUCCUACGGGAGGCAGCAGUGGGGAAUAUUGGACAAUGGGCGAAAGCCUGAUCCAGCCAUGCCGCGUGUGUGAAGAAGGCCUUUUGGUUGUAAAGCACUUUAAGCGAGGAGGAGGCUACUUGGAUUAAUACUCUAGGAUAGUGGACGUUACUCGCAGAAUAAGCACCGGCUAACUCUGUGCCAGCAGCCGCGGUAAUACAGAGGGUGCGAGCGUUAAUCGGAUUUACUGGGCGUAAAGCGUGCGUAGGCGGCUUUUUAAGUCGGAUGUGAAAUCCCUGAGCUUAACUUAGGAAUUGCAUUCGAUACUGGGAAGCUAGAGUAUGGGAGAGGAUGGUAGAAUUCCAGGUGUAGCGGUGAAAUGCGUAGAGAUCUGGAGGAAUACCGAUGGCGAAGGCAGCCAUCUGGCCUAAUACUGACGCUGAGGUACGAAAGCAUGGGGAGCAAACAGGAUUAGAUACCCUGGUAGUCCAUGCCGUAAACGAUGUCUACUAGCCGUUGGGGCCUUUGAGGCUUUAGUGGCGCAGCUAACGCGAUAAGUAGACCGCCUGGGGAGUACGGUCGCAAGACUAAAACUCAAAUGAAUUGACGGGGGCCCGCACAAGCGGUGGAGCAUGUGGUUUAAUUCGAUGCAACGCGAAGAACCUUACCUGGUCUUGACAUAGUAAGAACUUUCCAGAGAUGGAUUGGUGCCUUCGGGAACUUACAUACAGGUGCUGCAUGGCUGUCGUCAGCUCGUGUCGUGAGAUGUUGGGUUAAGUCCCGCAACGAGCGCAACCCUUUUCCUUAUUUGCCAGCGGGUUAAGCCGGGAACUUUAAGGAUACUGCCAGUGACAAACUGGAGGAAGGCGGGGACGACGUCAAGUCAUCAUGGCCCUUACGACCAGGGCUACACACGUGCUACAAUGGUCGGUACAAAGGGUUGCUACCUAGCGAUAGGAUGCUAAUCUCAAAAAGCCGAUCGUAGUCCGGAUUGGAGUCUGCAACUCGACUCCAUGAAGUCG
Molecule: ribosomal RNA, 1260 nt
Filed under: uncultured Acinetobacter sp.
Lineage: Bacteria; Pseudomonadati; Pseudomonadota; Gammaproteobacteria; Moraxellales; Moraxellaceae
Description: bacterial SSU rRNA
Rfam family: Bacterial small subunit ribosomal RNA
Source: RNAcentral